This 265-nucleotide ribosomal RNA is filed under the name uncultured bacterium. RNAcentral describes it as "partial 16S ribosomal RNA". It matches the Rfam family "Bacterial small subunit ribosomal RNA", at positions 793 to 1055 of the family's 1533-position model. The record is from RNAcentral.
GUCCACGCUGUAAACGAUGGGUACUAGGUGUCGUGGGUAUUGACCCCUACGGUGCCGUAGCUAACGCAUUAAGUACCCCGCCUGGGGACUACGGUCGCAAGAUUAAAACUCAAAGGAAUUGACGGGGGCCCGCACAAGCGGUGGAGCAUGUGGUUUAAUUCGACGCAACGCGAAGAACCUUACCUGGGUUAGACAACGGCGGAACGCCUCAGAGAUGAGGUUUUUCCUUCGGGAACUGCCGGUUCAGGUGCUGCAUGGCUGUCGU